AAAUAAAAUUGUCACUACCUAAAUGUUUUACCCCUUUGUUCUUAUUUUAAAGUUUUGUAAAAAGGAAUUCUUUAUUCUUUUUUUUUUUUUUUAAUUUAACGGGGGACCUGGAGGUCCUCUUACCAUAGAGAUGAGUGAGGAUAAACCAGCCCACAGUGACAGGAAGUAGGACCCAGGAGCCCCCUGCUGGGCCAACAGCAGUUGGUCAGGGCUGUCAGUUGCUGACAGUCAGGAGAGUCAGUUGCUGACAAUUAGGGCUGGGAGUUGCAGGGAAGUUGGCUGCUUGGAGAUGAAAUAUGUGAAAACAAAAUCUUCAGCAGAGAAAAUAUACAUCCUAACAAUCAAUGGCAGCAAAGACAAAUAUCUUGGAGCACAUGGACCAUUCUCAUUGGAUUCAAACUUUCAUCAGUGAGAUGGAUAUUUAUACCUAUAGAAAGCCCAGGGAGGCCUCCAGCAAGCUGAAUGGAAUGAACUUCCUGUACUGAACAUUUUUGAAGAAGUGGAAAAAGAGUUAUACAUGCUAUAUAGGUGAGGAUUUAUUUUAAUUCAAAUCAUUGAAACAAUACCUAAAAUGAUG
RNAcentral lists this long non-coding RNA (577 nucleotides) under Monodelphis domestica (gray short-tailed opossum). Its description in RNAcentral is "lncRNA (ENSMODG00000030275.2)". Lineage: Eukaryota; Metazoa; Chordata; Mammalia; Didelphimorphia; Didelphidae. The record is from RNAcentral.